GCUGGGUGUGGUGGCAUACACCUGUAAUCCCAGCCACUUGGGAGGCUGAGGCAGAAGGAUCAUGAGUUUAAAGCUGGCCUCAGCAACUUAGCAAGGCCCCAAGCAAUUUAGCGAGACCUUGUCUCAA
This 127-nucleotide small RNA is filed under the name Marmota monax (woodchuck). The record is from RNAcentral. Lineage: Eukaryota; Metazoa; Chordata; Mammalia; Rodentia; Sciuridae.